UGGGAUAGCUCAGCUGGUAGGAAAAGCAUGAGACUCUUAAUAUCAGGGUCAUGGGUUUGAGCCCCACAUUGGGCACAA
Non-coding RNA from Podarcis lilfordi (Lilford's wall lizard), 78 nucleotides. The record is from the annotation of a GenBank genome assembly. NCBI's taxonomy places the organism in Eukaryota, Metazoa, Chordata, Lepidosauria, Squamata, Lacertidae.